RNAcentral lists this transfer RNA (86 nucleotides) under Pirellulimonas nuda. RNAcentral's name for it is "Planctomycetes bacterium Pla175 tRNA-Ser". It matches the Rfam family "tRNA". Rfam says of the family: Transfer RNA (tRNA) molecules are approximately 80 nucleotides in length. Lineage: Bacteria; Pseudomonadati; Planctomycetota; Planctomycetia; Pirellulales; Lacipirellulaceae. The record is from RNAcentral.
UGCCGCUGUGGCGGAAUUGGCAGACGCGCAUGGUUCAGGUCCAUGUCCACGCAAGUGGGUGGGGGUUCGACUCCCUUCAGCGGCAU